RNAcentral lists this ribosomal RNA (332 nucleotides) under uncultured Acidobacteriota bacterium. RNAcentral's name for it is "bacterial SSU rRNA". It matches the Rfam family "Bacterial small subunit ribosomal RNA", at positions 568 to 898 of the family's 1533-position model. Lineage: Bacteria; Pseudomonadati; Acidobacteriota. The record is from RNAcentral.
UUCGUAGGUGGCUCGCUAAGUCACACGUGAAAUCCCUCAGCUUAACUGGGGAACUGCGUGUGAGACUGGCAAGCUCGAGUGCAGGAGAGGAAUGCGGAAUUCCAGGUGUAGCGGUGAAAUGCGUAGAUAUCUGGAGGAACACCGGUGGCGAAGGCGGCAUUCUGGACUGCAACUGACACUGAAGAACGAAAGCCAGGGGAGCAAACGGGAUUAGAUACCCCGGUAGUCCUGGCCCUAAACGAUGAAUGCUUGGUGUGGCGGGUAUCGAUCCCUGCCGUGCCGUAGUUAACGCGUUAAGCAUUCCGCCUGGGGAGUACGGUCGCAAGGCUGAA